AAAAAAAUAGACUCUGGGUUUCCGUGUUCAACUUUAAUUGUCCGUCUUAUAUGAAAUUUUUUUAUAAUUCGUAUUUUUAUUGUUGUUAGAUGAUAACAUGAUUAAUAUUUUAUGCGUGACUUGUCUUUUUAAUUUUUUUUAUAAUUUUUUCAAAUAAGACGGACGGUCAAAUAUUAGGCACGGAAACUAGUGCUUGUCAUUUUU
Molecule: non-coding RNA, 204 nt
Organism: Oryza barthii
Lineage: Eukaryota; Viridiplantae; Streptophyta; Magnoliopsida; Poales; Poaceae
Source: Rfam